Molecule: ribosomal RNA, 484 nt
Filed under: uncultured bacterium
Lineage: Bacteria
Description: partial 16S ribosomal RNA
Rfam family: Bacterial small subunit ribosomal RNA
Source: RNAcentral
AUUGAACGCUGGCGGAAUGCUUUACACAUGCAAGUCGAGCGGCAGCACGGGGGCAACCCUGGUGGCGAGCGGCGAACGGGUGAGUAAUACAUCGGAACAUGCCCAGUCGUGGGGGAUAACACUUCGAAAGAAGUGCUAAUACCGCAUACGUCCUGAGGGAGAAAGCGGGGGAUCGCAAGACCUCGCGCGAUUGGAGUGGCCGAUGUCAGAUUAGCUAGUUGGUGGGGUAAAGGCCUACCAAGGCAACGAUCUGUAGCUGGUCUGAGAGGAUGAUCAGCCACACUGGGACUGAGACACGGCCCAGACUCCUACGGGAGGCAGCAGUGGGGAAUUUUGGACAAUGGGGGCAACCCUGAUCCAGCCAUUCCGCGUGAGUGAAGAAGGCCUUCGGGUUGUAAAGCUCUUUCGGCAGGAACGAAACGGCGAGCUCUAAAAUAGCUUGCUAAUGACGGUACCUGAAGAAGAAGCACCGGCUAACUACGUG